This is a regulatory RNA element of 45 nucleotides. It matches the Rfam family "Xanthine riboswitch aptamer (NMT1 RNA)". Rfam says of the family: Later it was reported as a ncRNA that recognised Xanthine. The record is from Rfam.
UUUCGGAGUAGAAGCAGUCGGGCAUGCCCGGACAUUGCUCCUCAA